This 2238-nucleotide long non-coding RNA is filed under the name Amphibalanus amphitrite. RNAcentral's name for it is "uncharacterized LOC122367332, transcript variant X1". Lineage: Eukaryota; Metazoa; Arthropoda; Thecostraca; Balanomorpha; Balanidae. The record is from RNAcentral.
UUUGAUACUUUUCUGUCUGGCAUUUCUGAGUUUUUUUUCUGAUUAUUACCAGCAAGUAGUUGAUAAGAAUUAUCAUAUACUUUUGUAAAUGUAGAAAUAUUGGUAUGUAUUCCAAUACCAAACGAAAUUGCAUGUUUGUUUGUUUUAAGUGUGGUCAAUUGUCUAAAGCCUAGACGGACAAAGGAAGCUGCAAUUGCUUCUGUAACUCAUGUAAGCUGCCUUAAUUGAUAAGUAUCUGGACAUCCACGGACGGGGGAGCCAUCCGCUUCUCUUCUGUCUUUGACAACCAGUACUUUUAGAAUGAGCGAGUGCUUUGUAUUACAAAGAUCCGGUCCAACAGGCCUGCAGUCCGCACAGCCGGUAAAUGUGAAGAUGAAGUACAGUGAAGAUUAAAAUCUAACCUGACCUAACCUUACCUACUAUCCAAAAACUUUCAACCUGCCAACCUACAAUCUACAAACUUACAACCUACUAACCGAAAACCUACAAUUUAAAGCCUACAAUCUACCAACCUACAACUUAAAACCUACUGACUCACGUCUGACUGUACUUCAUCUUGAUCUACACAUAUAAUAUUGCACAGCCUACACAGGCCUCAAACUUCUGUGUGCACUAUGGUGUCAGGCAAUUGUGCCCCACCGACCAGCUGUGGUGACGCCAGUCGCCAACAGCUACAGCGCUUUUCCAGGAGGCUUCAGUUAUUCUGUGACUGGUGACCAAGGCACGACACAUCACCCAGCAACUCACAAUCUCGCUGGCGGAGUGUUGCUGAGCAGCUGACCAACUGAGGCUGCUGGAGCGUUUCUCAGUCGUCGACCUCCGUAGACUGUCAAGCCUCCCUGGCCUUCUGCGACUCAAGAAGGAGGGAUUUUUAUCUGUGUUUACCAUACAAGAGACAUUUUAAUCUGACGAUUCGAUCGGAUCUGGAUCAUGAAUCCCGAGGCGGUGUGACAGAUGGUCGAGGCCGGCGCGCCACGCCAGACGCCUUCUCGCGCGGGGCGUGCUCAGGUCAGUCAGGUUGCGCUGCCGGACUCUGCUCCGAGGAGAGAAGCACAUAAGCGCAGUCAGGACGCGAGUGUGGUUGCACCGCCCCGGUCCCAGCAACCGCAUGGCGGUGGGGACUCACAGCCCGGCUGAUGGUUCCAGAUCGUCUCAGCGCAGCUUCUUCUCCGGACCCCGGCGCGGCAGCGAGGCUGGUGGUUCGGAGCCGACUGAUGGAGGACAGCAAAAGAACAGCAGGACAGGACAGCACCCUAACCCUUCGGUCAUGUGGCGAGAGCUGGGCCCCGGACCGGUCGAAAGGGUGCUCACUGCUCAGCUGAGUGGGUAAUGUCCGCGUCUCGUUAGUGUCCCCGGCCAGGUCCUGAAGGGUAGAUGAGCGCGGGAUAUUCUCCUUUAUAGACGCAGAGCAAUGCUAGAAGAUUGGUUUUGCGAUCGAGUUGCAUGCGCUGUCCCUGCCUGUCGCUCCUGCUGCCGCCGGCGGGGUUGGCGCUAAUGGCCAUUGACGGGGCUGCUGUGUUUGUAAAUUAGGUUGGAUGGACCCCUGCUCUCAAAGUUUUGUGUUGGUCGCUGGUAACCCAUGUUUUGUUGCCAGCGUGUUACGAACCCACGUAGUGGUUUGACCCCGUGGGGUGCUGUGAGACAGCGCGGAGCGACGCGUGGAUGCUGCUGAAACACGCUGACUAUCGUCAUUUUGAAGUGCUGCUUGAGUUUGCUCGUUUGUUCUGUCUUACUGUAUUGUGUUUUCUACCAAGAUAAUGUCGAUAAGAUUGUUCAAUAAAGUUUGAGUUGAGACUUCCGGACCGGGAAAGACUGAGACGUCUGAACCGGCGCCGGCAAAGGCGUCUAAACCGGGACCGAUUGAGGCAGCUGGACUGGGACCAACGAAUGGCAGCCAGUUCUGGACCGAAAGUGGCAGGGCUGCAUCCGAUGCGCCACCACAUACCGUAUCACUGGCAGCCAUAUGCGUUCCUGUCGCAGGCCACCGUUCACGCUUCAGUUUCGGCGCUGGUGCCCCGGCCGGGUAUAUGCUCUGCUCGGUAUACCUAACUGUUGUGAGCAAACCCUCGUAAUCGUACGUCUAAUGCUAUAGUUGUUGUUCAAAUCCGCGUAAAUUAUGACAUUCUGGCAACUAUGCUGACCCAUAACCAAGCAUAGGUCAAUGUUGGCUCAGUCGGCUACGGUCGAAGUUAUGGUGUUUUUCCAGCCGAUAAUGCAUCAAUAUAAACUCCUUCCACA